RNAcentral lists this ribosomal RNA (420 nucleotides) under uncultured crenarchaeote. RNAcentral describes it as "bacterial SSU rRNA". It matches the Rfam family "Archaeal small subunit ribosomal RNA", at positions 459 to 879 of the family's 1478-position model. The record is from RNAcentral. Lineage: Archaea; Thermoproteati; Thermoproteota.
CAGCCGCCGCGGUAACACCAGCCCCUCGAGUGGUGGGGACUAUUAUUUGGCCUAAAGCGUCCGUAGCUGGCUGUAUCCGUCUCCCGGUAAAUCCGGCGUCCUAAGCGUCGGUUCUCGGGUGAUACCAUACAGCUAGAGGGUGGGAUAGGUGAGCGGUAUUUCUGGGGUAGGGGCGAAAUCCUUUGAUCCCAGGAGGACCACCAGUGGCGAAGGCUGCUCACUAGAACACGCCUGACGGUCAGGGACGAAAGCUGGGGCAGCGAACCGGAUUAGAUACCCGGGUAGUCCCAGCUGUAAACGAUGCUAGCUAGGUGUUGGGUCGGCCACGCGCCGCCCCAGUGCCGCAGGGAAGCCGUUAAGCUAGCCGCCUGGGGAGUACGGCCGCAAGGCUGAAACUUAAAGGAAUUGGCGGGGGAGCAC